AUUUAUGCAGUCGUCCCACUGAACUGGAGCAGGGAAGAAACCUGCCUGGAUGAUUCAGGCUCACAUACACAAUCAUCUCCAAAUAUGCUUCCCUUCUGUCAAAUGCCAUCUCCUAAAUAUCACCAGAGCAACCUGCGGAGAAGGCAAGGCUGAGUUGAUUGUUCACCGUGGUAAGAUAAUGCUGAAAUUAACAUCUUUGGAUAUACAAUUCUCUGCUUCUGAAGAAUGAAAAGAUAAAUAACAGAGCUAAGAAAGGGACUGAUGAAACUUACAACAGCAGGUCUCAAAUUUUUGGUCUCAGGACCCCUUUAUGCUCUUAAAAAUGAUUGACAGCCUCCAAGAGCUUUUGUUCAUGCUUUGGUAAGGCUGUGAGAGCACAGAGCUGAAUUAGGGAUCUUGGACUUCAAGUUACUGACUAGCCCCAGCACUCGCCAAGCUCACAAAGAAGACAGAAACGAGCUUCUCUCCUGAAGCCAGGGAGACCACUAACCCACCAGCAGGAAAGAACAACUCCGGACCCGCCGCCUUAAGAGCUGUUAACACUCACCGCGAAGGUCUGCAGCUUCACUCCUGAGCCAACGAGACCAUG
This 589-nucleotide long non-coding RNA is filed under the name Homo sapiens (human). RNAcentral describes it as "HSALNT0378054". Lineage: Eukaryota; Metazoa; Chordata; Mammalia; Primates; Hominidae. The record is from RNAcentral.